UGAUAAACCCUGUCAUAGUGGAGCAAGUUCAGGUGUUUAACCGCUGUUAUGGGGGAUCUGCCUUUUCUCCCUCUUCUUUCUUACUUCCAUAAGUAUGUAUGUGCAGAGAUUGAAAAAUAACCUUGAGAGAGUCCAUCCAUCUAACUCCAGGCUGGAGUGCAGUGGCAUGAUUUUGGCUCACUGUAUCCUCCGCCUCCCUGGCUCAAGCAAUUCCCCUGCCUCAGCCUCCCAAGUAGCUUGGAUUACAGAGGAUGAUGGCUUCCAACAGGGGUGGUCAUUUCCAAUCAGACACCUAAGAACUCCUGCUAAUGGGCAAUGAUGGAGGCACAUUCUAGAUGGAGGCACAUUCUAGAAACCCUUGAAACUGUGUGUUGCUUUGGACA
Molecule: long non-coding RNA, 383 nt
Filed under: Pongo abelii (Sumatran orangutan)
Lineage: Eukaryota; Metazoa; Chordata; Mammalia; Primates; Hominidae
Description: lincRNA
Source: RNAcentral